GGGGUUGUAUCUUAGUGGUAGAGCGCUUGCCUAGCAUGCAUGAGGCACUGGGUUUGAUCCUCAGCACCACA
Molecule: transfer RNA, 71 nt
Filed under: Marmota monax (woodchuck)
Lineage: Eukaryota; Metazoa; Chordata; Mammalia; Rodentia; Sciuridae
Description: tRNA.Ala
Source: RNAcentral